GCGGGUAUGGUUCAAUGGUAAAAUAUCUCCUUGCCAUGGAGAAGACGUGGGUUCGAUUCCCGCUACCCGCC
RNAcentral lists this transfer RNA (71 nucleotides) under Equisetum scirpoides. Its description in RNAcentral is "tRNA-Gly". It matches the Rfam family "tRNA". Rfam says of the family: Transfer RNA (tRNA) molecules are approximately 80 nucleotides in length. Their secondary structure includes four short double-helical elements and three loops (D, anti-codon, and T loops). The record is from RNAcentral. Lineage: Eukaryota; Viridiplantae; Streptophyta; Polypodiopsida; Equisetales; Equisetaceae. RNAcentral also lists the same sequence under 1 other name.